This 140-nucleotide ribosomal RNA is filed under the name uncultured eukaryote. RNAcentral describes it as "partial 18S ribosomal RNA". It matches the Rfam family "Eukaryotic small subunit ribosomal RNA", at positions 1299 to 1458 of the family's 1831-position model. The record is from RNAcentral.
UGGUGGAGUGAUUUGUCUGGUUAAUUCCGAUAACGAACGAGACCUUAACCUGCUAAUUAGUCAGGCCAACAGUUUUGUUGGUUCUUGACUUCUUAGAGGGACUGUUGAUGUUUAAUCAACGGAAGUUUGAGGCAAUAACA